GGUUCUUGUAGAAGAAAGAAGAAAAGCUUUGAAAAGUGCUAGCUCCGUGCUUUGUGAAAAACCGGCUGAUGAAUCUUUUUCACAGCAAUAUAACUGCAUUACCCGCUCAAUGAACCACCGUCAAAAGCAUUCUAGGAUCCCAAGAUUUAUUCCAGGAGCUUUUCUUGACAAAUCCACUUUUCGUUUGCUUUGCCAUUCAUUUGAUGCUACUUCUCCAAGUAAACUGUUCCAAUUAACUUAUUUAUUUGCUUUUUGGCCUAUGACUUUGUUUUGUUUAUUCCCUGAGCAAAUUUGAUAUUAAAAAUGGUGUGCUAUCACUACUCGUGCAUCUCACGUUGAAAGCUCGUUCACUGUCUUGCUUCUGUUGUAUGAUAUUGAUUAAAAUUUUCAGU
This 392-nucleotide unclassified non-coding RNA is filed under the name Hevea brasiliensis (rubber tree). The record is from RNAcentral. Lineage: Eukaryota; Viridiplantae; Streptophyta; Magnoliopsida; Malpighiales; Euphorbiaceae.